This 139-nucleotide ribosomal RNA is filed under the name uncultured eukaryote. RNAcentral describes it as "partial 18S ribosomal RNA". It matches the Rfam family "Eukaryotic small subunit ribosomal RNA", at positions 1299 to 1458 of the family's 1831-position model. The record is from RNAcentral.
UGGUGGGUUGCCUUGUCAGGUUGAUUCCGGUAACGAACGAGACCUCCGCCUGCUAACUAGUCACGGUUGGUGCUCCAGCCGGCGGUACUUCUUAGAGGGACUAUUGGCGCGUAGCCAGUGGAAGUUGGAGGCAAUAACA